UUCGGGUUGUAACCUCUUUUAGCAGGGAAGAAGCGAAAGUGACGGUACCUGCAGAAAAAGCGCCGGCUAACUACGUGCCAGCAGCCGCGGUAAUACGUAGGGCGCAAGCGUUAUCCGGAAUUAUUGGGCGUAAAGAGCUCGUAGGCGGUUUGUCGCGUCUGCUGUNAAAUCCCGAGGCUCAACCUCGGGUCUGCAGUGGGUACGGGCAGACUAGAGUGCGGUAGGGGAGAUUGGAAUUCCUGGUGUAGCGGUGGAAUGCGCAGAUAUCAGGAGGAACACCGAUGGCGAAGGCAGAUCUCUGGGCCGUAACUGACGCUGAGGAGCGAAAGGGUGGGGAGCAAACAGGAUUAGAUACCCUGGUAGUCCAAGGGCGAA
RNAcentral lists this ribosomal RNA (375 nucleotides) under uncultured bacterium. RNAcentral's name for it is "bacterial SSU rRNA". It matches the Rfam family "Bacterial small subunit ribosomal RNA", at positions 417 to 805 of the family's 1533-position model. The record is from RNAcentral.